Molecule: ribosomal RNA, 1432 nt
Filed under: uncultured organism
Description: 16S ribosomal RNA
Rfam family: Bacterial small subunit ribosomal RNA
Source: RNAcentral
CAGGCUUAACACAUGCAAGUCGAGGGGCAGCAUUUCAGUUUGCUUGCAAACUGGAGAUGGCGACCGGCGCACGGGUGAGUAACACGUAUCCAACCUGCCGAUAACUCGGGGAUAGCCUUUCGAAAGAAAGAUUAAUACCCGAUGGUAUAAUCAGACCGCAUGGUCUUGUUAUUAAAGAAUUUCGGUUAUCGAUGGGGAUGCGUUCCAUUAGGCAGUUGGUGAGGUAACGGCUCACCAAACCUUCGAUGGAUAGGGGUUCUGAGAGGAAGGUCCCCCACAUUGGAACUGAGACACGGUCCAAACUCCUACGGGAGGCAGCAGUGAGGAAUAUUGGUCAAUGGGCGCAGGCCUGAACCAGCCAAGUAGCGUGAAGGAUGACUGCCCUAUGGGUUGUAAACUUCUUUUAUGUGGGAAUAAAGUUUUCCACGUGUGGAAUUUUGUAUGUACCAUAUGAAUAAGGAUCGGCUAACUCCGUGCCAGCAGCCGCGGUAAUACGGAGGAUCCGAGCGUUAUCCGGAUUUAUUGGGUUUAAAGGGAGCGUAGGUGGACAGUUAAGUCAGUUGUGAAAGUUUGCGGCUCAACCGUAAAAUUGCAGUUGAUACUGGCUGUCUUGAGUACAGUAGAGGUGGGCGGAAUUCGUGGUGUAGCGGUGAAAUGCUUAGAUAUCACGAAGAACUCCGAUUGCGAAGGCAGCUCACUGGACUGCAACUGACACUGAUGCUCGAAAGUGUGGGUAUCAAACAGGAUUAGAUACCCUGGUAGUCCACACAGUAAACGAUGAAUACUCGCUGUUUGCGAUAUACAGUAAGCGGCCAAGCGAAAGCAUUAAGUAUUCCACCUGGGGAGUACGCCGGCAACGGUGAAACUCAAAGGAAUUGACGGGGGCCCGCACAAGCGGAGGAACAUGUGGUUUAAUUCGAUGAUACGCGAGGAACCUUACCCGGGCUUAAAUUGCAUUUGAAUAUAUUGGAAACAGUAUAGCCGUAAGGCAAAUGUGAAGGUGCUGCAUGGUUGUCGUCAGCUCGUGCCGUGAGGUGUCGGCUUAAGUGCCAUAACGAGCGCAACCCUUAUCUUUAGUUACUAACAGGUCAUGCUGAGGACUCUAGAGAGACUGCCGUCGUAAGAUGUGAGGAAGGUGGGGAUGACGUCAAAUCAGCACGGCCCUUACGUCCGGGGCUACACACGUGUUACAAUGGGGGGUACAGAAGGCAGCUACCUGGUGACAGGAUGCUAAUCCCAAAAGCCUCUCUCAGUUCGGAUCGAAGUCUGCAACCCGACUUCGUGAAGCUGGAUUCGCUAGUAAUCGCGCAUCAGCCAUGGCGCGGUGAAUACGUUCCCGGGCCUUGUACACACCGCCCGUCAAGCCAUGAAAGCCGGGGGUACCUGAAGUACGUAACCGCAAGGAGCGUCCUAGGGUAAAACUGGUAAUUGG